This 463-nucleotide ribosomal RNA is filed under the name uncultured bacterium. RNAcentral's name for it is "partial 16S ribosomal RNA". It matches the Rfam family "Bacterial small subunit ribosomal RNA", at positions 28 to 507 of the family's 1533-position model. The record is from RNAcentral.
GACGAACGCUGGCGGCGUGCUUAACACAUGCAAGUCGAACGGUGAACCUCUUCGGAGGGGCUCAGUGGCGAACGGGUGAGUAACACGUGGGCAACCUGCCCCCGGCUCUGGGAUAACUCCAAGACUUUGGGGCUAAUACCGGAUGUUCACCGCUUCCCGCAUGGGUGGUGGUGGAAAGGGUUUCCGGCUUGGGAUGGGCGCUAGGCUUAUCAGCUUGUUGGUGGGGUAGUGGCCUACCAAGGCGGAGGCGGGUAGCCGGCCUUGGAGGGGGGACAGCCACAAGGGGACUAGGGGAGGGAGCAGAAGGGAAUGGGGGGCAAUGGGGGGGAAUAUGGCGGAGCGGGGCGGAGCGAGAGACGAAGGCGUCGGGAUGGGGAUGACGGGCUUCGGGUUGUGAACAUCUUUCAGCAGGGACGAAGCGGAAGUGACGGUACCUGCAGAAGAAGCACCGGCUAACUACGUG